RNAcentral lists this small RNA (2472 nucleotides) under Pongo abelii (Sumatran orangutan). RNAcentral's name for it is "retained intron". The record is from RNAcentral. Lineage: Eukaryota; Metazoa; Chordata; Mammalia; Primates; Hominidae.
AGUGUGUGAAUUCAGAGGAAGGAGACCGAAUCCAGCCUGGGCACAGGAGGGAAAGUGUCCUGGAGGCAGCUGGUCCUCAGGUGGCCCUUAAGGAUAAAGAGCAGUUAGCUUGGUGAAGGGCUGACGAAGGCAGUGAGCCUUCCAGGAAGAGGGGAGAAAUCAAGCACAGGCAUGGCCCUGACACACAGGGCUGCACAGAAGGUGGCUCUCACUGGGAACAUGGCCAAGAGUGGACAACACCUGGGGACCCCUGCCGAAUCUGCCGGUGCCUGGAGGGUCACAUCCAGUGCCGCCAGCGAGAAUGUGCCAGCCUGUGUCCAUACCCGGCCCGGCCCCUCCCAGGCACCUGCUGCCCUGUGUGCGAUGGCUGUUUCCUAAACGGGCAGGAGCACCGCAGCGGGGAGCCUGUGGGCUCAGGGGACCCCUGCUUGCACUGCCGCUGUGCUGUGAGUGUGGCUGCCUGGCAGGGAGGGCCUGGCUCCAGAGCCUGCCUCUGGCAUGCUGACCAGGCCCUGUUGGCAGAAUGGGAGUGUCCAGUGUGAGCCUGUGCCCUGCCCACCAGUGCCCUGCAGACACCCAGGCAAGAUCCCUGGGCAGUGCUGCCCUGUCUGCGAUGGCUGUGAGUACCAGGGACACCAGUAUCAGAGCCAGGAGACCUUCAGACUCCAAGAGCGGGGCCUCUGUGUCCGCUGCUCCUGCCAGGUAGGCGGUCCCUCUGCUCACACCCAGAUCUGCCUCAUUCCUUCAGGGUGUCUCACCUGCUUCCCUCCUAGGCUGGCGAGGUCUCCUGUGAGGAGCAGGAGUGCCCAGUCACCCCCUGUGCCCUGCCUGCCUCUGGCCGCCAGCUCUGCCCAGCCUGUGUGCUGGAUGGAGAGGAGUUUGCUGAGGGAGUCCAGUGGGAGCCUGAUGGUCGGCCCUGCACCGCCUGCGUCUGUCAAGAUGGGGUACCCGAGUGCGGAGCUGUGCUCUGCCCCCCAGCCCCCUGCCAGCACCCCACCCAGCCCCCUGGUGAGUGCCUGGGCUGAUCCUGGCUUUCUUCCCCUGCAUUACUCAGCUCACCCUGACCAGCCCGCCCCACCCAGGUGCCUGCUGCCCCAGCUGUGACAGCUGCACCUACCAUGGCCAAGUGUAUGCCAAUAGGCAGAACUUCACGGACGCAGACAGCCCUUGCCAUGCCUGCCACUGUCAGGUAGCUGCCCAGCCUUGCUGCUGCCCUGCUGAGCCCCUCCUGGGCGUGCCCCCAUUGCUCUCUCCCCUGCUCUCUCCCAGGAUGGAACUGUGACAUGCUCCUUGGUUGACUGCCCUCCCACGACCUGUGCCAGGCCCCAGAGUGGACCAGGCCAGUGUUGCCCCAGGUGCCCAGACUGCAUCCUGGAGGAAGAGGUGUUUGUGGACGGCGAGAGCUUCUCCCACCCCCGAGACCCCUGCCAGGAGUGCCGAUGCCAGGAAGGCCAUGCCCACUGCCAGCCUCGCGCCUGCCCCAGGGCCCCCUGUGCCCACCCGCUGCCUGGGAUCUGCUGCCCGAACGACUGCAGCGGCUGUGCCUUUGGAGGGAAAGAGUACCCCAGCGGAGCGGACUUCCCCCACCCCUCUGACCCCUGCCGUCUGUGUCGCUGUCUGAGCGGCAACGUGCAGUGCCUGGCCCACCGCUGCGCGCCGCUGCCCUGUCCAGAGCCUGUCCUGCUGCCGGGAGAGUGCUGCCCGCAGUGCCCGGCCGCCCCAGUCCCCGCCGGCUGCCCACGGCCCGGCGCGUCUCCCGCCCGCCACCAGGAGUACUUCUCCCCGCCCGGCGAUCCCUGCCGCCGCUGCCUCUGCCUCGACGGCUCCGUGUCCUGCCAGCGGCUGCCCUGCCCGCCCGCGCCCUGCGCGCACCCUCGCCAGGGGCCUUGCUGCCCCUCCUGCGACGGCUGCCUGUACCAGGGGAAGGAGUUUGCCAGCGGGGAGCGCUUCCUAUCGCCCACUGCUGCCUGCCACCUCUGCCUUUGCUGGGAGGGCAGCGUGAGCUGCGAGCCCAAGGCAUGUGCCCCUGCAUUGUGCCCCUUCCCUGCCAGGGGCAACUGCUGCCCUAACUGUGAUGGUGAGGGUCACGGGAUAGGGAACUGCGGGGGUGGGAUGGGGGGACCAGAGGGCUGGGUCAGAAUAAUCUUUACUGCCCUAGGGUGGAUCUAAAAUAUUUAUUACAGUAAGAAAAAGUCCCAAGGCUGGGAGCCCUGGCUCGAGCCUGUGACCCCAACAAUUUGGGAGGCUGAGGCAGGAGGAUUGCUUAAGCCCAGGAGUUCAAGACCAGCCUGGGCAACAUAGAGAGAUCUUGUCUCUACACAAAAAAUUUAAAAUCAGCUGGUCGCAGUGGCUCUUGUAGUUCCAUCUACUGGGGAGGCUGAGGUGGGAGGAUUGCCCAGGAGUUUGAGGCUACAGUGAACCGUGUUUUUGCCACUGCACUCCAGGCUGGGUGACAGAGUGAGACCUCGUCUC